This 694-nucleotide long non-coding RNA is filed under the name Monodelphis domestica (gray short-tailed opossum). RNAcentral's name for it is "lncRNA (ENSMODG00000032652.2)". Lineage: Eukaryota; Metazoa; Chordata; Mammalia; Didelphimorphia; Didelphidae. The record is from RNAcentral.
CUGAGUUAAUCCUUGUGAUUGGUGAUAGAAUAAAUGAUUUUCUCUAUUUAACAGAUGGAGAAAGUUACCAUAAGAACUUAAAUGACUUGAUCAUGAUCAUACAUAUGGCAAAGAUGGGACUAUAAAACAGUCAUGCCCCAAUUGAUGGACACCCCUUCAAUUUCCAGUUGCUUGCCACCACAAAAAGGAGCUGUCAUAAAUAUUUUUGGUCAGGAAUCCAGGGAGAGCACACAUUUGGGAAAAUCAGGAAAAUAGAGGCACUUCUAUCCAGAGACUGGGAAAAAGCUCCUUCCACUUCCAGGGCCAAGAAGAAAGUGCUAGUCACAAUACCAACUGCCACUCCCAGUUGCCCCUCCCCCCACCAACUGUCAGUCUUGUCAAUAUCAUCUCUCUAAUAUUCCCACUUUUGUUUGUUCCAACUAUAUGGCAGAAAGUCCAGAACUUGUUUUAGUUUUCCUUUCCACAAUUAUUCUUGUAUGUUUGGUCUGCUUUGUUUUACAACAUGGAUAAUACGAAAAGGUUUUGCAUGACUGUAUGUGUACAAUCUUUAUCACAUUUCUUGCCUCCUCAUGAAAGAGAGAGGGGAAAGAGGAAAGCAGAGAAUUUGAACUCAGAUUAAAAAAAAAAAUUAACAGGAAAAAUUUAUUUACUUGUAUUUGAGAAAAAUAAAAUUAAGUGUAAAAAAAUCUAUUCA